Molecule: ribosomal RNA, 117 nt
Organism: Varibaculum cambriense DORA_20
Lineage: Bacteria; Bacillati; Actinomycetota; Actinomycetes; Actinomycetales; Actinomycetaceae
Source: Rfam
UGUGGUGGUCAUAGCGCCUAGGACACGCCCAGUCCCAUCCCGAACCUGGAAGCUAAGCUAGGCAACGCUGAUGGUACUACGCCCCAACGAGCGCGGGAGAGUAAGAAACCACCACAA